This 127-nucleotide small RNA is filed under the name Marmota monax (woodchuck). Lineage: Eukaryota; Metazoa; Chordata; Mammalia; Rodentia; Sciuridae. The record is from RNAcentral.
GCUGGGCAUAGUGGCUCGUGCCUGUAAUCCCAGCCACUAGGGAGGCUAAUGCAGGAGGAUCACAAGUUCAAAGCCAGCCUCAGAAGAUUAGUGAGGCCCUUAGCAACUCAGUGAGACCUUGUGUCUA